Molecule: long non-coding RNA, 673 nt
Organism: Asparagus officinalis (garden asparagus)
Lineage: Eukaryota; Viridiplantae; Streptophyta; Magnoliopsida; Asparagales; Asparagaceae
Exons: 2
Source: RefSeq, a predicted model, not a curated record
UUAAACUAAAUAUUUUUUUUGGUUACUCAUAAAUGAGAAGAUGUAAAGCCCCGUUCCAUCCGUUACGAAUUUUCUCCGACAACACAAUCACAUUCUCUCUACCUCAUCAAUUGUUAGUUAUCAAAUUGCAAAGAUACUAUUAUCGUCAUCAAGAAGCUUAUUAUUAUCCUCAUCAUCCACAAACCUUCUCUUCCAUCUUCUCCUCAAAUAUCAGAUUUUAGAUCUUCUCCUCAAAUAUCAGAUUUUAGAGAUCAGGAAGGAUCAGGAAGGCUCGAGAAAGGAUGAUUUGUUAGAGGAUUAUCCAGCGUUGUUGCUCCUGAGAUUUGUAGCCCUAGCAUUACGCUGGAUUUGGAUGACGGGAUUGAGAGGAUCCGACGAGAGUUCGAGGAUGCGGAGAAGAGCUUUCUUAAUAUUCCACUGGCGCUCAAGGAGAUGCCCGGGAUGAAUCCCGAAGGUGAAGCGAUACGUCACUGUCACGUUGAUUUUUAGUAUUUUGACCUGAAAGUUCCCUUUUUUUUUGGACGUGCAUGUGAAAAUUUUGUUGUGGGUGCUUUUUUUUAGUGCUAAAUUUAUGAUGAGAUCAAAAGAUUCCUAUCAGAUGUUCAUUUUAAACCUUAUUGGUUGGAAAAUAUAGUAGUUAGCUAAAAAGUUGUUUUGAUUUAUGUGUUAAUUG